RNAcentral lists this ribosomal RNA (253 nucleotides) under uncultured bacterium. RNAcentral's name for it is "partial 16S ribosomal RNA". It matches the Rfam family "Bacterial small subunit ribosomal RNA", at positions 524 to 776 of the family's 1533-position model. The record is from RNAcentral.
UACAGAGGGUGCGAGCGUUGUUCGGAAUUAUUAGGCGUAAAGGGCGCGUAGGCGGUGCGGUAAGUCACCUGUGAAAUCUCCUGGCUCAACUGGGAGCUUGCAGGCGAAACUGCCGUGCUGGAGUGUGGGAGAGGUGCGUGGAAUUCCUGGUGUAGCGGUGAAAUGCGUAGAUAUCAGGAGGAACACCUGUGGCGAAAGCGGCGCACUGGACCACAACUGACGCUGAGGCGCGAAAGCGUGGGGAGCAAACAGG